CCUACGGGUGGCAGCAGUGAGGAAUAUUGGUCAAUGGGCGGGAGCCUGAACCAGCCAAGUCGCGUGAGGGAAGACGGUCCUAUGGAUUGUAAACCUCUUUAGGCGGGGAGCAAUGCCGGGCACGCGUGCCCGGAGGGAGAGUACCCGCAGAAUAAGCAUCGGCUAACUCCGUGCCAGAAGCCGCGGUAAUACGGGGGAGGCGAGCGUUAUCCGGAUUGAUUGGGUUAAAAGGGUGCGUAGGCGGAUUUUUAAGUCAGCGGUAAAAUGUCCGGGCUCAACCCGGGCCGGCCGUUGAAACUGGGGAUCUUGAGUGGGCGAGAAGUAUGCGGAAUGCGUGGUGUAGCGGUGAAAUGCAUAGAUAUCACGCAGAACUCCGAUUGCGAAGGCAGCAUACCGGCGCCCGACUGACGCUGAGGCACGAAAGCGUGGGGAUCGAACAGGAUUAGAUACCCUGGUAGUC
RNAcentral lists this ribosomal RNA (460 nucleotides) under uncultured bacterium. RNAcentral's name for it is "partial 16S ribosomal RNA". It matches the Rfam family "Bacterial small subunit ribosomal RNA", at positions 338 to 795 of the family's 1533-position model. The record is from RNAcentral.